Molecule: small RNA, 76 nt
Filed under: Enterobacter cancerogenus
Lineage: Bacteria; Pseudomonadati; Pseudomonadota; Gammaproteobacteria; Enterobacterales; Enterobacteriaceae
Description: isrK Hfq binding RNA
Rfam family: isrK Hfq binding RNA
Source: RNAcentral
GCACUGGCAAAAUCCAGUGCCGGGAUUGAGACCCCGAUUACUACAAAGGCGCAUCUACCGCGCGAGCGGUUUUUUU